GUCGCAUGCUCCCGGCCGCCAUGGCGGCCGCGGGAAUUCGAUUAGAGUUUGAUCAUGGCUCAGAUUGAACGCUGGGGGCAUGCCUAACACAUGCAAGUCGAACGGCAGCACAGUAAAGAUUUCGGUCUUUAUGGGGUGGCGAGUGGCGGACGGGUGAGUAACACGUAGGAAUCUGUCCUGGAGCGUGGGAUAACCCGAGGAAACUCGGGCUAAUACCACAUGAUAUCGAGAGAUCAAAAGCAGGGGACCGAAAGGCCUUGCGCUCUGGGGUGAGCCUACGUCGGAUUAGCUAGUUGGUGGGGUAAAAGCCUACCAAGGCGACGAUCCGUAGCUGGUCUGAGAGGAUGACCAGCCACACUGGGACUGAGACACGGCCCAGACUCCUACGGGAGGCAGCAGUGGGGAAUCUUGGACAAUGGGGGAAACCCUGAUCCAGCGAUGCCGCGUGUGUGAAGAAGGCCUUCGGGUUGUAAAGCACUUUAGGUGGGGAAGAAAGGUAACGAGCGAAUAACUCGUUGCUAUGACGGUACCCGCAGAAUAAGCACCGGCUAACUCUGUGCCAGCAGCCGCGGUAAUACGAAUCACUAGUGAAUUCGCGGCCGCCUGCAGGUCGACCAUAUGGGAGAGCUCCCAA
This 634-nucleotide ribosomal RNA is filed under the name uncultured Gammaproteobacteria bacterium. RNAcentral describes it as "partial 16S ribosomal RNA". It matches the Rfam family "Bacterial small subunit ribosomal RNA", at positions 1 to 599 of the family's 1533-position model. Lineage: Bacteria; Pseudomonadati; Pseudomonadota; Gammaproteobacteria. The record is from RNAcentral.